AAAUGGGCAGAAUAAAAUUUAACGGAGUUUUCUUAUUGAUGGUCCUUCAAAUAUUCUUGGUGGCUCCAACAACUGGAGAUGAAACGUGUGAAUCAGACCGAAAAAUCGAAGAACAGUGCCGGCUUCAUAACUACAAGACUGUUAAGCCUUUGCUCGAUUAUUUCAGGCAGGUUAGAAAUGAGUUAGAACAAAGUGAAACUAAGGAAAAGCAGAUAAGUGAAUUAAAUUCUGAUCUUAUGGAAAAAUAUCAUGAAAUUGUAAGAAUUCAUGAAACAUUCAUGAAGGAGGCAGAUCUAUUAAAUGAGUAUAAAAACAAAGUAAUCAAAGGGGAAAACGAUUUGCAAUUGUGUCAAAAUAAAGUUGAUAAAUCUGAAUCUGAAAUUAAUUCAAAACAAAAUAUUAUUCUUAACUUAAAAGAACAACUAACAGAUAAAUCCACCAACUUAGAAAAUUGUCAAGUUCAAUUAAAAUCUCUUAAAUCUAGUUUAAUUGAAAAAGAUGCAAAUAUAAAGAGAUUGAGUGAGAAUAUUAAAAGUAACAAAGAAUAUCAGAAAACACUUGAGUUGGAAUUAGAGAAGAGUAAAUCUAUAUCAAUAAAGCGUGAAAAAGAUAUUCAGUUAUGUCGUUCAGAAAUCAACGAAUUAAAUAGGACAUCAGAGAGCAUUAAAGAAGAAUAGAAAAAGAUUCAAUUGAUAUUAAAAGAAUGUGAAACUAAGCUAAUAGAUAAAGUAAAUGAAACUAAGCUAAAUCAAUCUGAACUUGAUAAAUUAAGUGCCACAACAUGCAUCCCUCAUGCAUCAGGAGUUCAUCAACUCAAUGUCUCCGGCAUAGGUUUAUUCAAUGUGUUGUGCGAUAGUCAGUUAGCUGGACCUGGAUGGAUUGUAAUACAACAACGAGUUGGGGGAAAUGAGAGUUUCAAUAGGAAUUGGGAAACGUAUCGCAAAGGUUUCGGUUCUUUUGAAAGUGAUUUCUUUCUUGGAUUAGAGAAAUUACACCGUAUCACGAGCUUGCAGCGUUUCGAACUUUACAUACAUAUGGUCGAUGAGGAUGGAAAUACCCUCAACGCUCGUUAUGACAACUUCAAAAUAUCUGAUGAAGAUAAUGGAUAUGCACUGAGUUUGGGUAAAUUCACUGGAACUAUUUUAGGGGAUGGCAUGAGAGAUACCGAAAACAUGAAAUUCACAACAUUCGAUCACGACAACGACAAUUAUGAUUAUGCUAAUUGCGCAGUCGAGAAUGAAAGUGGCUGGUGGUACAAACAUUGUUAUUAUAGUUAUUUAAAUGCACCAUAUGAAGAUCUAAGUUGGGAGGUACAUGAUGACAACAUUAUUGACCUUAAAAAAGUUAAGAUGCUAAUUCGCCCCAAAGAAGCGAUGAAGAAGUGAUAAACUGAAAAGCUGAAAUUUUCAUAUUUGACUCAAUUAGGUAAUCAUUUAUAUAUAAUUUAAAUCAUAAAAAAACAAGUAAGAAAGCUACAGUCGAGUGUACUCGUCUGUAAGAUACUUGCUGCCCAAUUUGAUUAAAAGCAAUAUGUUUUGCGGUAUUAUUCUCAAAAUAUACCGAAUAUACUGCAAAAAUACUAAAAAUAUACCAAAUGGUAUAUUUGGUAUAUCGACAUAGUACCGCAUCCAAAAUAUACCAUAGACGACACUAUAUCAGAUUAUCAGCCAAAGCAACUAAACCCCUUAUAACUAGGUGUUUUUGCCCUUCCAAAAGUAUAUCUUUAAUAACUUCGACAAUUUUUAUCAAAACUAGCAGCUCUAGAUUAAUAAUUGCGCUUGUUAUUCUUUUUUUUAUAUGGGGCGGAAGGGGCGUGGCAAAAAUUUGAAACAAACUUGAUCUGCGUUCAAACAUAACAAAUGCUCUCGAAUUAAAAUCAUAGCUCUAUCUCUUAGUGUCUCUGAGAUCCAGUGUUUCAUACGGACAGACGGACAGACACACAGACGGACAUGGCUAUAUCGUCU
RNA transcript from Drosophila nasuta, 1964 nucleotides. It is a transcript of the gene named fibrinogen-like protein 1, with no coding region annotated. Lineage: Eukaryota; Metazoa; Arthropoda; Insecta; Diptera; Drosophilidae. The transcript has 3 exons. The record is from RefSeq and is a predicted model, not a curated record.